GAUGAACGCUGGCGGCGUGUCUAAGGCAUGCAAGUCGAACGCAUUAAGUUGCGUGGCAGACGGGAGCGUAACACAUUGGUAAUCUACCCCUACGUGGAGGAUAACCCUAAGAAAUUGGGGAUAAUACUCCAUGCUAUCUAGUUUCAUAUGAAAUUAGAUGAAAGAUUUAUUGCGUAGGGAGGAGCCUAUGGCCUAUCAGCUUGUUGGUGAGGUAAAAGCUCACCAAGGCUAUGACAGGUACCGGGUGUGAGAGCAUGACCCGGCUCAAUGGGACUGAGACACUGCCCAU
Molecule: ribosomal RNA, 289 nt
Filed under: uncultured bacterium
Lineage: Bacteria
Description: partial 16S ribosomal RNA
Rfam family: Bacterial small subunit ribosomal RNA
Source: RNAcentral